GCGCCUGUAGCUCAGUGGAUAGAGCAACGGAUUCCUAAUCCGUGUGUCGCAGGUUCGACUCCUGCUAGGCGCACCA
This 76-nucleotide transfer RNA is filed under the name Bacillota bacterium. Its description in RNAcentral is "Firmicutes bacterium (anaerobic digester metagenome) tRNA-Arg". It matches the Rfam family "tRNA". From Rfam's summary of the family: Transfer RNA (tRNA) molecules are approximately 80 nucleotides in length. Their secondary structure includes four short double-helical elements and three loops (D, anti-codon, and T loops). Further hydrogen bonds mediate the characteristic L-shaped molecular structure. tRNAs have two regions of fundamental functional importance: the anti-codon, which is responsible for specific mRNA codon recognition, and the 3' end, to which the tRNAs corresponding amino acid is attached (by aminoacyl-tRNA synthetases). tRNAs cope with the degeneracy of the genetic code in two manners: having more than one tRNA (with a specific anti-codon) for a particular amino acid; and 'wobble' base-pairing, i.e. permitting non-standard base-pairing at the 3rd anti-codon position. Lineage: Bacteria; Bacillati; Bacillota. The record is from RNAcentral. RNAcentral also lists the same sequence under 1 other name.